Molecule: non-coding RNA, 27 nt
Filed under: Rattus norvegicus (Norway rat)
Lineage: Eukaryota; Metazoa; Chordata; Mammalia; Rodentia; Muridae
Source: RNAcentral
UUUCCUGAUUUGGUAUUUGGCAUUACU